UAAAAGGAGAUUUUUAUCUUUCUCUCCUUUUUUUUUUCUUUUUUUGAGAGGGAGAGAGAGAGCACAUGUGCAAGAGAGCCAGGAGAGGAGGGAGAGAGAGAGAGAGAGAGAGAGAGAGAGAGAGAGAAUCUUAAGCAGGCUCUAUGCUCAGCAUGGAGCCUAAUGCAGAGCUCGAUCCCAUAAUCCUGGGAUCAUGACCUCAGCUGAUAUCAAGAGACAGGCACUCAACUAACUGACUGAGCCACCCAAGCGCCCCUGAGAUUUUCUCCGUUGUACCUGGACUGUGUGACUGGCUGUGUGCCUGGAGGACGGUUCCAUCCCCAUCGGCGUUGCACCUGCUCCUAGAGGCCCCGGAACACCCAGCUGCACUUGCAGUGCGGCUGGAAUCAGACUUGCCACCUGCACAGUCAAGUGCCGGACCCCCGGGAGCACCACUGGACCCAUCUCUUACACAGGCUGACCGAUUUCUCCUGGUGUUCAGAGUCUGUUUUUGUCUAGCACCAUUUGAAAUCGGUUAUGAUGUAGGGGGAAAAGCAGCAGCCUCGAAACCUCACGCCAAGCCUGGUGAGCAACAGCCUCUGUUCUCCUGGAAGACGUGGUCUCCCGGAAGACGGAUGGGCAGAAGGUGGGGAAGGACGAUCACGCUUUUUUCACUAACUUCUUUCACUGUAUUAAUGAUACAUUAUUGCAGAGGUAAAAGAGAAUUUAACAUAGUUUUGAAACAAAUCACUAUAAUGUUUAUGAUGUCCUGGGGUGCAUUUUGCUAAAAUGUGGCAGUGCUGUAUAUUCUGUAAAUGGCUGCUGUCCAAUUCUCUUUCUGUUAAGAGUCCAUUCAUGCGGGCUUUCAGUCGGUCGGACGUCUGAUUCUUGAUUUCGGCUCAGGUCAUGAUCCUGUCUCUGUCCCUUGCUUGUGUAUGCUCUCUCUCUCAAAAUAAAUACAUAAUUUUUUUUUUUUUUUAAAGAAGAGUCUAUUCAUGCAUCCUGACCUGAAUAUUUUACUCUAUGUUUCCAUUUCUUUGUGUUCUUCUUCAGUUUCCUUUCUAAGCUUUCUAUAGUUUUCAGCAUAAAGAUCUUUUACAUCUUUGCUCAGGUUUAUUCCUAGGUAUUUUAUAGUUCUCGAUGCAAUUGUAAAUGUGAUCAAUUUCUUCAUUUUUCUUUCUGUUGCUUCAUUAUUGGUGUAUAGAAAUGCAAGCAAUUUCUGUACAUUGAUUUUGUAUCCUGCAACUUUGCUGAAUUCGUGUAUCAGUUCUAGCAGACUUUUGGUGGAGUCUUUCAGGUUUUCCAUGUAAAGUAUCAUGUCAUUUUCGAAAAGUGAAAGUUUGACUUCUUCAUUGCCAAGUGGGAUGCCUUUUAUUUCACUUUGUUGUCAGAUUGCCGAUGCUAGGACUUCCAACACUAUGUUCAACAACACUGGUGAGAGUGGACAUCCCCAUUGUGUUCCUGAUCUCAGGGGAAAACUCUCAGUUUUUCCCCAUUGAGGAUGAUAUUAGCUGUGGGCUUUUCAUGUAUGGCUUUUAUGAUGUUAAAGUAUGUUCCUUCUAUCCCAACUUUCUUGAGGGUUUUUAUUGGGAAAGGAUGCUGAAUUUUGUCAAAUGCUUUUUCUGCAUCUAUUGACAGAAUCAUAUGGUCCUUAUUCUUUCUUCUAUUAAUGUGAUGUAUCACGUUGAUUGAUUUGUGAAUAUUGAACCAGCCCUGCAACCCAGGAAUGAAUCCCACUUGAUCAUGGUGAAUAAUUAUUUUAACAUACUGUUGAAUUUGAUUUACUAGUAUCUUGUUGAGAAUUUUUGCAUCCAUAUUCAUCAGGGAUACUGGCCUGUAGUCUCCUUUUUAGUGGGAUCUCUUUCCGGUUUGGGAAUCAAUGUAAUGCUGGCUUCAGAGAAUAAGUCCAGAAGCUUUCCUUCCAUUUCUAUUUUUUGGAACAGCUUAAGAAGGAUAGGUAUUAACUCUGCUUUAAGUGUCUGGUAGAAUUCCCCUGGAAAGCCAUUUGGCCCAGGACUCUUAUUUGUUGGGAGAUUUUUGAUAACUUAUUCAAUUUCUUCACUGGUUAUGGGUCUGUUGACAUUUUCUAUUUCUUCCCAUUUGAGUUUUGGUAGUGUGUGGGUGUCUAGGAAUUUGUCCAUUUCUUCCAGGUUGUCCAGUUUGUUGGCAUAUAAUUUCUCAUAGUGUUCUCUAAUUGUAUUUCUCUGGUGUAGGUUGUGAUCUCCUCUUUCAUUCAUGAUAUUAUCAGGGUUCUCUCUUUUCUUUUUGAGAAGUCUGGCUAGGGGUUUUUCAAUUUUGUUUAUUUUUUCAAAAAGCCAGCUCUUAAAUUCAUUGAUCUGUUCUACUGUUUGUGUUUUGUGUUUUUUGUUUUUUUUUUAUUCUACUUUGUUUAUUUCUGCUCUAAUCUCUAUUAUUUCUCUUCUUCUGCUGGCUUUGAGAUCUCUUUGCUUUUCUGCUUCUGGUUCCUUUAGAUUUGUGGUUAGGUUUUGUAUUUGGGAUUUUUCUUGCUUCUCGAGGUAGGCCUGAAUUGCAAUGUAUUUUCCCCUUAGUACUGCCUUUGCUGCAUCCCAAAGGGUUUGGACUGUUGUGUUUUCAAUUUCAUUUGCUUCCAUAUAUUUUUAAGUUGCUUCUUUAAUUGCCUGGUUGACCCAAUCAUUCUUUAGUAGGAUGUUCUUGCAUUUGGAGGCUUUCCAAAAAAAUUUUUUGUGGUUGAUUUCAAGUUUUAUAGCAUUGUGAUCUCAAAAUAUGCAUGGGAUGAUCUCAACUCUUUUAUAUUUAUUGACAGCUGUUUUGUUACCCAGUAUGUGAUCUAUCUUGGAGAAUGUUCCAUGUGCUCUCAAGAAGAAUGUGUAUUCUGCUGCUUUUGAAUGAAAAGUUCUGAAUAUAUCUGUCAAGUCCAUCUGGUCCAGUGUAUAAUUCAAGGCCAUUGUUUCUUUAUUGAUUUUCUGCCUAGAUGAUCUGUCCAUUGUUGUAAGUGGAGUAUUAAAGUCUCCUGCAAAUACUGUAUUCUUCUCAAUAAGAUCGCUUAUGUGUGU
Molecule: long non-coding RNA, 3014 nt
Organism: Acinonyx jubatus (cheetah)
Lineage: Eukaryota; Metazoa; Chordata; Mammalia; Carnivora; Felidae
Exons: 2
Source: RefSeq, a predicted model, not a curated record